GACGAACGCUGGCGGCGUGCCUAAUACAUGCAAGUUGAGCGCUGAAGGUUGGUACUUGUACCAACUGGAUGAGCAGCGAACGGGUGAGUAACGCGUGGGGAAUCUGCCUUUGAGCGGGGGACAACAUUUGGAAACGAAUGCUAAUACCGCAUAAAAACUUUAAACACAAGUUUUAAGUUUGAAAGAUGCAAUUGCAUCACUCAAAGAUGAUCCCGCGUUGUAUUAGCUAGUUGGUGAGGUAAAGGCUCACCAAGGCGAUGAUACAUAGCCGACCUGAGAGGGUGAUCGGCCACAUUGGGACUGAGACACGGCCCAAACUCCUACGGGAGGCAGCAGUAGGGAAUCUUCGGCAAUGGACGAAAGUCUGACCGAGCAACGCCGCGUGAGUGAAGAAGGUUUUCGGAUCGUAAAACUCUGUUGGUAGAGAAGAACGUUGGUGAGAGUGGAAAAGCUCAUUCAAAGUGACGGAAACUAC
This 475-nucleotide ribosomal RNA is filed under the name Lactococcus lactis. RNAcentral's name for it is "bacterial SSU rRNA". It matches the Rfam family "Bacterial small subunit ribosomal RNA", at positions 28 to 482 of the family's 1533-position model. The record is from RNAcentral. Lineage: Bacteria; Bacillati; Bacillota; Bacilli; Lactobacillales; Streptococcaceae.